RNAcentral lists this ribosomal RNA (749 nucleotides) under Brevibacterium aureum. Its description in RNAcentral is "bacterial SSU rRNA". It matches the Rfam family "Bacterial small subunit ribosomal RNA", at positions 71 to 832 of the family's 1533-position model. Lineage: Bacteria; Bacillati; Actinomycetota; Actinomycetes; Micrococcales; Brevibacteriaceae. The record is from RNAcentral.
GCCAGAAGCUUGCUUCUGGUGGAUGAGUGGCGAACGGGUGAGUAACACGUGAGUAACCUGCCCCUGAUUUCGGGAUAAGCCCGGGAAACUGGGUCUAAUACCGGAUACGACCACCGAACGCAUGUUCGGUGGUGGAAAGUUUUUUCGAUCGGGGAUGGGCUCGCGGCCUAUCAGCUUGUUGGUGGGGUAAUGGCCCACCAAGGCGACGACGGGUAGCCGGCCUGAGAGGGCGACCGGCCACACUGGGACUGAGACACGGCCCAGACUCCUACGGGAGGCAGCAGUGGGGAAUAUUGCACAAUGGGGGAAACCCUGAUGCAGCGACGCAGCGUGCGGGAUGACGGCCUUCGGGUUGUAAACCGCUUUCAGCAGGGAAGAAGCGAAAGUGACGGUACCUGCAGAAGAAGUACCGGCUAACUACGUGCCAGCAGCCGCGGUAAUACGUAGGGUACGAGCGUUGUCCGGAAUUAUUGGGCGUAAAGAGCUCGUAGGUGGUUGGUCACGUCUGCUGUGGAAACGCAACGCUUAACGUUGCGCGUGCAGUGGGUACGGGCUGACUAGAGUGCAGUAGGGGAGUCUGGAAUUCCUGGUGUAGCGGUGAAAUGCGCAGAUAUCAGGAGGAACACCGGUGGCGAAGGCGGGACUCUGGGCUGUAACUGACACUGAGGAGCGAAAGCAUGGGGAGCGAACAGGAUUAGAUACCCUGGUAGUCCAUGCCGUAAACGUUGGGCACUAGGUGUGGGGGACAU